GAUUCUGGCUCAGAACGAACGCUGGCGGCAUGCCUAACACAUGCAAGUCGAACGCUCCCGGGGGCUUCGGUCCCGGGGGAGUGGCGCACGGGUGGGUAGCGCGUGGGAACCUGCCCUGUUGUGGGGGAUAACCGAGGGAAACUUCGGCUAAUACCGCAUGCGCCCGAGGGUAACUUCGGGGAAAGAUUUAUCGCAGCAGGAGGGGCCCGCGUCGGAUUAGCUAGUUGGUGGGGUAACGGCCCACCAAGGCGAUGAUCCGUAGCUGGUCUGAGAGGAUGAUCAGCCACACUGGGACUGAGACACGGCCCAGACUCCUACGGGAGGCAGCAGUGGGGAAUAUUGGACAAUGGGCGCAAGCCUGAUCCCAGCAAUGCCGCGUGAGUGAUGAAGGCCUUAGGGUUGUAAAGCUCUUUCGCCCGCGACGAUGAUGACGGUAGCGGGAGAAGAAGCCCCGGCUAACUUCGUGCCAGCCGCCGC
This 477-nucleotide ribosomal RNA is filed under the name uncultured bacterium. RNAcentral's name for it is "bacterial SSU rRNA". It matches the Rfam family "Bacterial small subunit ribosomal RNA", at positions 15 to 518 of the family's 1533-position model. The record is from RNAcentral.